Molecule: ribosomal RNA, 1489 nt
Filed under: Lactiplantibacillus pentosus
Lineage: Bacteria; Bacillati; Bacillota; Bacilli; Lactobacillales; Lactobacillaceae
Description: bacterial SSU rRNA
Rfam family: Bacterial small subunit ribosomal RNA
Source: RNAcentral
GACGAACGCUGGCGGCGUGCCUAAUACAUGCAAGUCGAACGAACUCUGGUAUUGAUUGGUGCUUGCAUCAUGAUUUACAUUUGAGUGAGUGGCGAACUGGUGAGUAACACGUGGGAAACCUGCCCAGAAGCGGGGGAUAACACCUGGAAACAGAUGCUAAUACCGCAUAACAACUUGGACCGCAUGGUCCGAGUUUGAAAGAUGGCUUCGGCUAUCACUUUUGGAUGGUCCCGCGGCGUAUUAGCUAGAUGGUGGGGUAACGGCUCACCAUGGCAAUGAUACGUAGCCGACCUGAGAGGGUAAUCGGCCACAUUGGGACUGAGACACGGCCCAAACUCCUACGGGAGGCAGCAGUAGGGAAUCUUCCACAAUGGACGAAAGUCUGAUGGAGCAACGCCGCGUGAGUGAAGAAGGGUUUCGGCUCGUAAAACUCUGUUGUUAAAGAAGAACAUAUCUGAGAGUAACUGUUCAGGUAUUGACGGUAUUUAACCAGAAAGCCACGGCUAACUACGUGCCAGCAGCCGCGGUAAUACGUAGGUGGCAAGCGUUGUCCGGAUUUAUUGGGCGUAAAGCGAGCGCAGGCGGUUUUUUAAGUCUGAUGUGAAAGCCUUCGGCUCAACCGAAGAAGUGCAUCGGAAACUGGGAAACUUGAGUGCAGAAGAGGACAGUGGAACUCCAUGUGUAGCGGUGAAAUGCGUAGAUAUAUGGAAGAACACCAGUGGCGAAGGCGGCUGUCUGGUCUGUAACUGACGCUGAGGCUCGAAAGUAUGGGUAGCAAACAGGAUCAGAUACCCUGGUAGUCCAUACCGUAAACGAUGAAUGCUAAGUGUUGGAGGGUUUCCGCCCUUCAGUGCUGCAGCUAACGCAUUAAGCAUUCCGCCUGGGGAGUACGGCCGCAAGGCUGAAACUCAAAGGAAUUGACGGGGGCCCGCACAAGCGGUGGAGCAUGUGGUUUAAUUCGAAGCUACGCGAAGAACCUUACCAGGUCUUGACAUACUAUGCAAAUCUAAGAGAUUAGACGUUCCCUUCGGGGACAUGGAUACAGGUGGUGCAUGGUUGUCGUCAGCUCGUGUCGUGAGAUGUUGGGUUAAGUCCCGCAACGAGCGCAACCCUUAUUAUCAGUUGCCAGCAUUAAGUUGGGCACUCUGGUGAGACUGCCGGUGACAAACCGGAGGAAGGUGGGGAUGACGUCAAAUCAUCAUGCCCCUUAUGACCUGGGCUACACACGUGCUACAAUGGAUGGUACAACGAGUUGCGAACUCGCGAGAGUAAGCUAAUCUCUUAAAGCCAUUCUCAGUUCGGAUUGUAGGCUGCAACUCGCCUACAUGAAGUCGGAAUCGCUAGUAAUCGCGGAUCAGCAUGCCGCGGUGAAUACGUUCCCGGGCCUUGUACACACCGCCCGUCACACCAUGAGAGUUUGUAACACCCAAAGUCGGUGGGGUAACCUUUUAGGAACCAGCCGCCUAAGGUGGGACAGAUGAUUAGGGUG